GGCACUUUGGCGGAGUGGUUAACGCGAUGGCCUGCUAUUGUUACAAGCAAAGCAUUCAGCCAUUUCCUUCGGGAGCGAGUGUUCGAAUCACUCAGGUGUCG
Transfer RNA from Glarea lozoyensis 74030, 101 nucleotides. It matches the Rfam family "tRNA". From Rfam's summary of the family: Transfer RNA (tRNA) molecules are approximately 80 nucleotides in length. Their secondary structure includes four short double-helical elements and three loops (D, anti-codon, and T loops). Further hydrogen bonds mediate the characteristic L-shaped molecular structure. tRNAs have two regions of fundamental functional importance: the anti-codon, which is responsible for specific mRNA codon recognition, and the 3' end, to which the tRNAs corresponding amino acid is attached (by aminoacyl-tRNA synthetases). tRNAs cope with the degeneracy of the genetic code in two manners: having more than one tRNA (with a specific anti-codon) for a particular amino acid; and 'wobble' base-pairing, i.e. permitting non-standard base-pairing at the 3rd anti-codon position. The record is from Rfam. Lineage: Eukaryota; Fungi; Ascomycota; Leotiomycetes; Helotiales; Helotiaceae.